AUUGAACGCUGGCGGCGUGCUUAACACAUGCAAGUCGUGCGGUAACAGGCGUAGCAAUACGUGCUGACGAGCGGCGAACGGGUGCGUAAUACAUGGGAAUCUGCCCUUUAGUGGGGAAUAACCCGGCGAAAGCCGGGCUAAUGCCGCAUAAGAUCUUCGGAUAAAAGCGGGGGAUCGUAAGACCUCGCGCUGAUGGAUGAGCCCAUGUCGGAUUAGCUAGNGGUGAGGUAGCGGCUCACCAAGGCGACGAUCCGUAGCUGGUCUGAGAGGACGGCCAGCCACACUGGGACUGAGACACGGCCCAGACUCCUACGGGAGGCAGCAGUGGGGAAUAUUGGACAAUGGGCGAAAGCCUGAUCCAGCGACGCCGCGUGUGUGAAGAAGGCCUGCGGGUUGUAAAGCACUUUCGA
This 410-nucleotide ribosomal RNA is filed under the name uncultured bacterium. Its description in RNAcentral is "bacterial SSU rRNA". It matches the Rfam family "Bacterial small subunit ribosomal RNA", at positions 30 to 439 of the family's 1533-position model. The record is from RNAcentral.